UCACCCGUCCCAAACUUUCUGUCAGCUGCGAAGCCGGCGGGACCCGCCCAGAGGGCGGGCGGAAGCGAACCGUGCCGCGGCCACGACCGCUCUAGGCAGCUUCCUUCGGCUCGGGAGGGAGCCGCGCUUUCCCCGUUUAUCCCUGGGCACCCUGAGCCGCUGCCGGCAGCCCUGGGGGGGCCUUGAGUCCGGAGCAGGGCGGACAGGAGCGCCACUUGGAGCCAAAGAUUCAGGCAGCGCGGGGUUUGGACGUGGGCUGGGGGUCACUGUUCAUUUUGGCAUUUCUGUUGUCAGGGUUGGAAGAGGCCGCUGGUUAGUGGGCCCCUUGCCCGAGGGUGUAGGCUCCUAAAGCUCCCCUGACGUUUUCACCGCGUUCCUCCGAACCCCCCACCCCCGCCCACGGGGGCUGAAAGUCGCAGGACUUUUGAUGGCCCUUAUGUGUCUGGGGUGGGGAUGGGAGGGCCCGUGUAGACGAGCCACCCGUUUACGCCUGGGGGUGAUGAAGCGGGACCCGCCGCAAGAUUUGAGGGGCCCAGUGCAAAAUGAAAAUGCCAGGUUCCUUGCUCAUGAGUUAUUAGGAACUCCAAAACGGUGAAAAGCAGAGCAUUAAACCCAGCGCCGGCGCCUGCGACCCCACAGGUCGUGGCCCGUGAACCUGUCGCUGUGCUUCCGGGACUGUGGGCCCCGAACAGAUGCUGGAACCCUCCAUUACGAAGGGCUCCCUGUGUGGUCUCGCUUUUUAGUUUUCCUUGUUAUUGCCGUUUGCCCUCCCCAGUGCUUUUGGAUGGAUCUUCGUCACCGUUCUAGGAUUGCUCACCAUCCUCAAGCUUGAAAACCCACUGAAGGUCAGGCAUCUUUAAGUGCUGAGUUGAACAGUGCAUUUCAUAUGCACUGAAGGCUGGGUGGGGCUGGCUUUUUCCCUGGCGUCUUCCUCUGAAGCUGGCAGAAUGAUGGAGAGAUGGUACUGACUGCAUGAAAGCAACCCCUUCAGCCAAUUCCUGUCUUCCUGGGAAGACCCCUGGAAGAAACAGGCCUCUUGAGCACUUGAUGCAGAUGACCACGAGUGGAUAGCCAUCAGCAGGAGGAUGGAUUCAUGAAAGCUCAACAUUUCCUGCUAAUCCAUGAACCAUAAUGACUCCCAGGAUGCCCUAUGAUAAGUAUAUCCCACCUGUUUCCAAACCUCUGUCAGUGCAGAACAAGGCUGCGGCGAAUUAGGCCUGAAAUUACACUCACAGUUGUGUUUUGGUUUUUCUCUAGGGAAUGCUUUGCUGGUCUUCCAGCUUUCUGUCUGCCCUUGCUCUAAAGGAUGGGUUCUCCGAGUGCAAGCUUUGGCCAAGUUCCCACACAUACUCCAUGUAGAAAAGAAGCUGGUGCCCCCUCUGCUGCAUGCCACAUUUAUUUAUUUGAGAGAGAGACUCUUGAGCCGACUCCCUGCAGCGCGUGGAGCCUAAAGCAGGGCUUGAUUCCAUGACCCUCAGAGGGUGACCUGAACACGGGGCUGGAUCCCAAGACCCUGAGAUCAUGACGGAGCCAACACCAAGAGUCAGGCGCUCAACCGACUGAGCCACCCAGGUGUCCCUCCUUUGUAAUUUUAAGAUGAAGUCCUCAAAAGCAGGAAACAAAAGCCUGCCCGGAAACAACUUUGACCUUGGAAGUGUCAGCAUCAUGGAUAGCCUUUCAGAUGGCCACAGUUUUGCCUGGUACUUCGGGCAAUUCAGUCAGAUGUGUGAGGCCUGUCGUCCCCCCCCCACCCCCCGGUAUGCCCAUAAGCAUCUGAACAACUGUAAGUCAAAUCCAUCAACAAACUAGUAAAUAAGGACUAGAAGUCACUUCAAACUUUUGAGUCUCCUGAUUUCUUGGAUGUUUGGUUUGGCUUCCCCAGCGGAUGGCUUCACUGAUGGAGAGCAACUCAACCAAGGAAACCGUGGCCCCAAACACUGAGCUGACUUAGGAAGCUCCGUUUAUCUGAUUACAUUUAGAAAUGGUUAUACUCUGUCUUUCAGCAUCAUGCUCCAGUAUUUACUAAGACAAUGUCAUUACCUUAGUAUGUCAGCUCGCCUUAAUUUCCUCCCUUUUGCAGCUCAUCAUGUUCGAAACAUUUGAAAGUAACCUAUUGGAAUGGAUAUUUGAUAUUUGUUGCUCUUUGCCCAUCUACCCUUUCAUAGUCAUCUAUAUCCCUCUGUCUUCUUACCCGGCUCAACUUCUGUGGUCAUUUUUAUCACUCGUUUGCCCUUUUGUUGCUUGUACUUGUUGGCAAAACCACAGUCUGUAAAGUCCAACUCUCUCCAUACUCUGCCCUUGUAUAUGGCCCCAAGAGGAACACAUAUCCAGGUCAACUGAUUUCACACUAAAUUCUUGACUCCGUACCUCAAGUGAACGCUUAACGUAGCCUAGAAUCGCGUCUACUUCCCUGUCCAUUCAUUCUCCUCUUCUAAAGGACAGUUUCAUAUCUUCUCUCCCUGAACUUCCUGUACCUCCUUCCCAGUCUCACAGCUGAUGAACCUGUUUCUUUUUUCAAUAAAGAGUUGGAAGCAAUGAGAAGAGAGCUUCCACAAGUCCCCACCACCUCUGCCCACCCGCCGGCAUCUGUGCCAUCAUAGAUCGAGACCAGGCCUCUUCUUCUAGAUCAGGGCUUCUCAGCAGCUGUGUUGACAUUUGGGACUGAGUAACUCUUGGUCAGGGGUGUCGUUCUGUGCAUGGUAGGAUGCGUCACAGCAUCCCCGGCCUCUACCCACUCGAUGCCCCAGCACCCCUCCCCCGAGUUGUGACCACCCAAAAUGUCCCCUGGUGGGGGGGGGCGAAAUCUUGGGGGCCAUUUGGUAAUGUGUGCAGACACUUUUGGUUGUCACAGCAUGGGUGCAGGGGUUGGUGUGCUGCUGACAUCUAGGGGGUAGGGACCGGGGAUGCUGUGAAACAUCCCGCCAAGCGCACAACAGGCCCCCACGGCAAAGCUUACCCAGUCCCAAAUGUCCAUAGUGCUGUAGCUGAGAAGUCUGGUCCGAGAUGAACUGUCUGCAUUCCUGUCAAAAUCCAGCCCGCCACCUGCUCCUGCCUCCUCCUGGAAAUCACUCUAGCAAGUCUCCUUUCUCCUACAUCAUUGUUUACCUUCUCUGUUCUCUCCUUCAGAUGAGCCUACAAGCAUGCUGCAAUCUCAGCAUUAAAAAGAACUCUUGAGGGGCGCCUGGGUGGCUCAGUUGUUAAGCGUCUGCCUUCA
Zalophus californianus (California sea lion) is the source of this 3214-nucleotide long non-coding RNA. RefSeq lists it as uncharacterized. The transcript is spliced from 3 exons. Lineage: Eukaryota; Metazoa; Chordata; Mammalia; Carnivora; Otariidae. The record is from RefSeq and is a predicted model, not a curated record.